Molecule: non-coding RNA, 1056 nt
Organism: Cucurbita pepo subsp. pepo (vegetable marrow)
Lineage: Eukaryota; Viridiplantae; Streptophyta; Magnoliopsida; Cucurbitales; Cucurbitaceae
Source: RefSeq, a predicted model, not a curated record
GCUCCUAUUCUGGAGAAUUUACUGAAAAAUUUCCAAAAGUCCUUCCCCACUUUAAAGUUUCCGCCCUUACCCGAUCGGGGAGACUUCGAUCUCAAGGACGUCCUGCAAUCUUCCUAUUUCUUCAAUUAGUGCAGCCUAGAUACUUCAGUCGGAUGCUCUUUCUCAUAUGUGCUACACGUCUGUGGCUGACAUACAGUCCUGUCUACGACUCUUGAAAUCAGACUCUGGAGGCGAGUUUGCUACUUCGAGGUCAGUGCUGUCCAGCUACUUGUACAUAACACAUUCUCCAACCAUUGGUAGUCUAAAUCUUGGAACUUGGGAGUUCAAUCUGCCAUUCACGUAUUCAACUUUUACCUUACAAAAUAAAGAUAGGUUAUAUUUGGAAGCUACGGAAUUUCUACCUUCAUUGUACUCUGAUCCGGACUUAAGUUCUGACACUGCAAUCAAUUAGAGGUUCAGCGAUGCUGAGAGACAUGGCUUUCAAAGUGUGAUCAAUGAAGUAAGAUCUCGGUGUAAUCUCCCAAAGAUCAGUUGGAGUGUUGCCAUUUAGUUUUCAUAGGAUCAUGGCUUAACUUCAUGACAAAAGGAAGAAUGGGCUGCUGAGAAGAAAGUCGUGGUGCAUACUCAUACCAUAGCGAGGUAUUGCAGGUUGUUUCAUUCCCAAAAAUAAGGAAAAAUGAAGAAGAUUGUUGUUCUAGAAAUACCAGUAAAUUUUAGUCUAUGCCGAUUGUAUUCAAUUUUUUAAACAAGGCUGACAUUGGAUGACGACUCUAUAUAGUACUGGGGAUGGCUGGCAUUCCCUUGCUCGCAGGUGUACAGAAUUUACAGAUGAAUUUGUUAAAUCGAUUAUGGUUGUUUGGAAUUAUUCUACUUGCGGAUGAACUUAACUUCCUUUUGGAGCUCUUUUUCUUAGUUAGAAACAGAAGGCGAUGCAGAAACGAAGUGCCUUCUGAAUCCCCACCUGCUACUAAAAAUUUCCUUUGUAUUCUGAAGCUUUCAUGGCCGACUGUCUGAUUCAGCUGCUACUAUUAUACUUCCCUGGAGCAAAAAUUCAUU